RNAcentral lists this transfer-messenger RNA (365 nucleotides) under metagenome. RNAcentral's name for it is "sequence transfer-messenger RNA". It matches the Rfam family "transfer-messenger RNA". From Rfam's summary of the family: Bacterial tmRNA, also known as 10Sa RNA or SsrA, is named for its dual tRNA and mRNA-like properties. Its role is to liberate the mRNA from a stalled ribosome. To accomplish this part of the tmRNA is used as a reading frame that ends in a translation stop signal. The record is from Rfam by way of RNAcentral.
GGGGCUGACAGGAAUCGACAGUAGAGUGUAUCAUGUCAGUAAGCAUGCCGGGGAAUGGUGGUUUACCCCGUUAUCAAAUGAUUACCGACCAAUAAUUGGCGAAACUCGUUUCGCGUUGGCUGCCUAAUUCAAGGAAUUAGCGUGCCUUCAUGCUAAGGGUUUGAUAUCUGCUAAAACCCGGUGCAUUCAUCAAUGCAGGUUAAGCCAAAGGGAUGUCCCGACCGGAGGCCGACAAUCCAGGGAACCGGAUGUCAUCACGUUGUUGCAGUACCAGAUGGCAUCUUAAAUCCGAUCUGCAAAUAAGCAUGUAGAAAGCUGAUGUGGGCUUUAGCUGGACGGGGGUUCAAUUCCCCCCGGCUCCACCA